Long non-coding RNA from Micropterus dolomieu (smallmouth bass), 201 nucleotides. RefSeq lists it as uncharacterized. The transcript has 2 exons. The record is from RefSeq and is a predicted model, not a curated record. Lineage: Eukaryota; Metazoa; Chordata; Actinopteri; Centrarchiformes; Centrarchidae.
CCUUUGGCAACGCUAAGGAAAUGAGCCGCAAUGACAUCGCCAGGCUCAACACACUCUACAAGUGCUAGGAAGCCUGUCCAGAUGUGCUGGCAGACAGAUCAGAGGGAAGACUGUCUCCUCGUGCUCACUGAACAACAGAAGCUGCAGACCUGAACUCAUCAGUGCAAUAGUCAAUGAUACAAUAAAAUUACUAAAAUUACA